Molecule: non-coding RNA, 908 nt
Organism: Oryzias latipes (Japanese medaka)
Lineage: Eukaryota; Metazoa; Chordata; Actinopteri; Beloniformes; Adrianichthyidae
Source: RefSeq, a predicted model, not a curated record
UUCUUUAUCUGCUUCCCUCUCUCUUCAGCUACCAAACUGUUUCCUCCUUUCGGCUUUCUCUCCCAUCAUUUGCCUCUCCUCCACUCCCUCGUCAGUAUUUCUUCCUGCCAUUUCUUAUUUUAUCACGCCUUUGUUGCUCCACCGUGUCCUCCCUCCAUUUUUCCCUCUGAAGCUUUUAAAUGUUUGAUGGGGAUUAUUGGCCAGGAGGCUCUGCUAUUCCCCCAAGGUGCCAUGUUUAGAGGAUGGAGCAACUCCUUUACUGUCCAUUCAUUUUCAGAAAAACUGACUGACAGCCAGACUUAUUGAUUGGUUAAUUGAUUAAUCACAGUUCCGUGUCAUACGCACUGAAGAUCACUUUUUUCCCCCCUUGAUGGAUUCAAGGACAAGUUUGCGGCGCUUCUAUCCAUAUCUCUCUCAUAAAAACCCACAAUCAUGACAGAUGACACAUUGAGUGCAUCGUUCCAUCGGGUGUCUCCUCAGCUCGGGGUGCAACAAGCCAUUUCCUGCUUGUUUGUGUGCUUCAGAUACUCUCUAACCUUGACUUUGCUGUAUUCAUGCAGUCGAAAAAGCAGACAGCAGGUGUCCGCCCUCCUCCUCCCUGACGACAGAGCACGUCCACUGUGCUCCUCCUCAGUCUGAAGUGGCAGUUUGAGACCUGGACCUCAUGGGCUUUUGUGCUGCAUGCUCACACAUCACAACAGUGACUCUUUACAAACGGCAACAGUAUGGUUUACACUAAUGCAACUACAGUGUCUGUUAGAAUAAAAUACAGUUUCAUUGACAUGAAUUAAUGCUCCUAAAUCCAUGUGGCUUAAAAUGUAAUGUGACUAUUCUUUAACAUAGUAAUAAAUGCACUUAUUAAAUUGGUUCUUUUGUUUUAUUAUUAAGAAAUACAAAAGAUGUAAGUA